This 322-nucleotide ribosomal RNA is filed under the name uncultured bacterium. Its description in RNAcentral is "bacterial SSU rRNA". It matches the Rfam family "Bacterial small subunit ribosomal RNA", at positions 478 to 793 of the family's 1533-position model. The record is from RNAcentral.
CCUACAGAAGAAGCACCGGCUAACUCCGUGCCAGCAGCCGCGGUAAUACGGAGGGUGCGAGCGUUAAUCGGAAUUACUGGGCGUAAAGCGCAUGCAGGCGGCCUGUUAAGUCAGAUGUGAAAGCCCGGGGCGUUAACCUCGGAAUUGCAUUUGUAAACUGGCAGGCUAGAGUCUUGUAGAGGGGGGUAGGAAUUUCAGGUGUAGCGGUGAAAUAGCGUAGAGAUCUGAAGGAAUACCAGUGGCGAAGGCGGCCCCCCUGGACAAAGACUGACGCUCAGAUGCGAAAGCGUGGGGAGCAAACAGGAUUAGAUACCCCUGGUAG